Molecule: long non-coding RNA, 396 nt
Filed under: Gossypium raimondii (Peruvian cotton)
Lineage: Eukaryota; Viridiplantae; Streptophyta; Magnoliopsida; Malvales; Malvaceae
Description: long non-coding RNA (GRAI_LNC006161)
Source: RNAcentral
GAAGAAAUGGUAAAUUCAAUGAAAAUAAAGCAGGUGAAUGUUUUAAUUAGCUUAUUUUGUUUGGACAUAUAAAAUAAGUUAAUCCAAAUUAAAACUAAAUUAGUGUUUAUGAAUUGUGUUAAAAGACAAAACACUGUCCAUGAAUUCACGACAACUUUAGGUGUUCAAGUGUUGCUUAUAAAAUCAAAGAGGGAAAAUAAUGAAAAUAGAUUAGCAAUAUUUUCACGAUGGAGAAACUGUAAGCCAUACUAAUUUAUCAUUUCUUCCAACAUAAGUAAAAUAUUACCUUAAUUUUAUCUAAUAUUUUAUCAUUAUUCUUUUAUUCAGAACAGUACUUGACAGCAAAAAGAAUCACUUAUUUGCUGCCAGUAGAUAGUAGAUACACCAUUAAGCAAC